CUACGGGUUGCAGCAGUCGGGGAUAUUGCACAAUGGAGGAAACUCUGAUGCAGCGACGCCGCGUGAACGAAGAAGGCCUUCGGGUCGUAAAGUUCUGAUGUGAGAGAAGAAGAUAGUGACGGUAUCUCACCAGCAAGCACCGGCUAACUACGUGCCAGCAGCCGCGGUAAUACGUAGGGUGCAAGCGUUGUCCGGAAUUACUGGGCGUAAAGGGAGCGUAGGUGGUUAUAUAAGUCUUUAGUAAAAGGCAUUGGCUCAACCAAUGUAGGCUAGAGAAACUAUAUAACUUGAGUACAGUAGAGGUAAGUGGAAUUCCUAGUGUAGCGGUGAAAUGCGUAGAUAUUAGGAGGAACACCAGUGGCGAAGGCGACUUACUGGGCUGUAACUGACACUGAGGCUCGAAAGCGUGGGGAGCAAACAGGAUUAGAUACCCGAGUAGUC
Molecule: ribosomal RNA, 441 nt
Filed under: uncultured bacterium
Lineage: Bacteria
Description: partial 16S ribosomal RNA
Rfam family: Bacterial small subunit ribosomal RNA
Source: RNAcentral